AGACUCUCAAAUAAAGGUGGCUCUUGCAGCCAUCUCUGUUUGGACUUGGGCUUUGCUGCAUUAAUGUGGCUAGUCUUAAAUCUAUUAGCUGAUCCUUGUUGAGAUUUUGGUUCUACUCAGUGUGAUAAUUAUCUAGCAUUGAGGACAGUCUCAGAACUGGCCAUAGCUCUCUCUGGAUUGCUUCUAAAAGUGUCUUGGGGACAAUUGCUUAAU
RNAcentral lists this unclassified non-coding RNA (213 nucleotides) under uncultured Hydnum. RNAcentral describes it as "sequence contains ITS2". The record is from RNAcentral. Lineage: Eukaryota; Fungi; Basidiomycota; Agaricomycetes; Cantharellales; Hydnaceae.